This is a non-coding RNA of Triticum urartu, 160 nucleotides long. The record is from Rfam. NCBI's taxonomy places the organism in Eukaryota, Viridiplantae, Streptophyta, Magnoliopsida, Poales, Poaceae.
AUACUUACCUGGACGGGGUCGAUGGCCGAUCAAGAAGAGUCAUGGUCUAGGCUAGUGGUCCGCAUUGCACUUGGUGGAUGCGCUGGCUUACCAUCUCCCCAAGUGGGAGAAUGGACGUCAUAAUUUGUGGUAGAGGGGGUACGCGUUCGCGCGGCCCCUG